AUGGACGAAAGUCUGACGGAGCAACGCCGCGUGAGUGAUGACGGCCUUCGGGUUGUAAAGCUCUGUUAAUCGGGACGAAAGGCCUUCUUGCGAAUAGUUAGAAGGAUUGACGGUACCGGAAUAGAAAGCCAUGGCUAACUACGUGCCAGCAGCCGCGGUAAUACGUAGGUGGCAAGCGUUGUCCGGAAUUAUUGGGCGUAAAGCGCGCGCAGGCGGAUUGGUCAGUCUGUCUUAAAAGUUCGGGGCUUAACCCCGUGAUGGGAUGGAAACUGCCAAUCUAGAGUAUCGGAGAGGAAAGUGGAAUUCCUAGUGUAGCGGCGAAAUGCGUAGAUAUUAGGAAGAACACCAGUGGCGAAGGCGACUUUCUGGACGAAAACUGACGCUGAGGCGCGAAAGCCAGGGGAGCGAACGGGAUUAGAUACCCCGGUAGUCCUGGCCGUAAACGAUGGGUACUAGGUGUAGGAGGUAUCGACCCCUUCUGUGGCGGAGUUAACGCAAUAAGUACCCCGCUUGGGGAGUACGACCGCAAGGUUGAGACUCAAAGGAAUUGACGGGGGCCCGCACAAGCGGUGGAGUAUGUGGUUUAAUUCGACGCAACGCGAAGAACCUUACCAGGUCUUGACAUUGAUGGACAGAACUA
RNAcentral lists this ribosomal RNA (640 nucleotides) under Veillonella dispar. RNAcentral describes it as "bacterial SSU rRNA". It matches the Rfam family "Bacterial small subunit ribosomal RNA", at positions 371 to 1002 of the family's 1533-position model. Lineage: Bacteria; Bacillati; Bacillota; Negativicutes; Veillonellales; Veillonellaceae. The record is from RNAcentral.